GAUGAACGCUGGCGGCGUGCCUAAUACAUGCAAGUCGAGCGAACAGACGAGGAGCUUGCUCCUCUGACGUUAGCGGCGGACGGGUGAGUAACACGUGGAUAACCUACCUAUAAGACUGGGAUAACUUCGGGAAACCGGAGCUAAUACCGGAUAAUAUAUUGAACCGCAUGGUUCAAUAGUGAAAGACGGUUUUGCUGUCACUUAUAGAUGGAUCCGCGCCGCAUUAGCUAGUCGGUAAGGUAACGGCUUACCAAGGCAACGAUGCGUAGCCGACCUGAGAGGGUGAUCGGCCACACUGGAACUGAGACACGGUCCAGACUCCUACGGGAGGCAGCAGUAGGGAAUCUUCCGCAAAGGGCGAAAGCUUGACGGAGCAACGCCGCGUGAGUGAUGAAGGUCUUCGGAUCGUAAAACUCUGUUAUUAGGGAAGAACAAAUGUGUAAGUAACUAUGCACGUCUUGACGGUACCUAAUCAGAAAGCCACGGCUAACUACGUG
RNAcentral lists this ribosomal RNA (497 nucleotides) under uncultured bacterium. RNAcentral's name for it is "partial 16S ribosomal RNA". It matches the Rfam family "Bacterial small subunit ribosomal RNA", at positions 28 to 507 of the family's 1533-position model. The record is from RNAcentral.